GACGAACGCUGGCGGCGUGCUUAACACAUGCAAGUCGAACGGAAAGGCCCUGCUUUUGUGGGGUGCUCGAGUGGCGAACGUGUGAGUAACACGUGAGUAACCUGCCCUUUACUUUGGGAUAACUUCAGGAAACUGGGGCUAAUACCGGAUAGGAGCUCCUGCUGCAUGGUGGUGGUUGGAAAGUUUCGGCGGUUGGGGAUGGACUCGCGGCUUAUCAGCUUGUUGGUGGGGUAGUGGCUUACCAAGGCUUUGACGGGUAGCCGGCCUGAGAGGGUGACCGGCCACAUUGGGACUGAGAUACGGCCCAGACUCCAACGGGAGGCAGCAGUGGGGAAUAUUGCACAAUGGGCGGAAGCAUGAUGCAGAAAAGCCGCGUGCGGGAUGACGGGCUUCGGGUUGUAAACAGCUGUCGCAUGUGACGAAGCGGGAGUGACGGUAAUGGGUAAAGAAGCACCGGCUAACUACGUG
RNAcentral lists this ribosomal RNA (468 nucleotides) under uncultured bacterium. RNAcentral describes it as "partial 16S ribosomal RNA". It matches the Rfam family "Bacterial small subunit ribosomal RNA", at positions 28 to 507 of the family's 1533-position model. The record is from RNAcentral.